Molecule: ribosomal RNA, 253 nt
Filed under: uncultured bacterium
Lineage: Bacteria
Description: partial 16S ribosomal RNA
Rfam family: Bacterial small subunit ribosomal RNA
Source: RNAcentral
UACGUAGGGGGCAAGCGUUGUCCGGAAUCAUUGGGCGUAAAGAGCGUGUAGGCGGUUUCGUAAGUCCGACGUGAAAGUCCAGGGCUCAACCCUGGAAUGCCGCUGGAUACUGCGGAACUAGAGUCCGGAAGGGGCGAGUGGAAUUCCUGGUGUAGCGGUGAAAUGCGCAGAUAUCAGGAGGAACACCUAUGGCGAAGGCGGCUACCUGGACCGGUUCUGACGCUGAGGCGCGAAAGCGUGGGUAGCAAACAGG